This 468-nucleotide ribosomal RNA is filed under the name uncultured bacterium. RNAcentral describes it as "partial 16S ribosomal RNA". It matches the Rfam family "Bacterial small subunit ribosomal RNA", at positions 28 to 507 of the family's 1533-position model. The record is from RNAcentral.
GAUGAACGCUGGCGGCGUGCUUAACACAUGCAAGUCGAACGGAAAGGCCCAAGCUUGCUUGGGUACUCGAGUGGCGAACGGGUGAGUAACACGUGGGUGAUCUGCCCUGCACUUCGGGAUAAGCCUGGGACACUGGGUCUAAUACCGGAUAGGACGAUGGUUUGGAUGACAUUGUGGAAAGUUUUUUCGGUGUGGGAUGAGCUCGCGGCCUAUCAGCUUGUUGGUGGGGUAAUGGGCUACCAAGGCGCCGACGGGGAGCCGGCCUGAGAGGGUGUACGGCCGCACUGGGACUGAGAGACGGCCCAGACUCCGACGGGAGGGAGAAGUGGGGAAUAUUGGACCAUGGGCGCAAGCGUGAUGCAGCGACGCCGCGUGGUGGAUGACGGCCUUCGUGUUGUAAGCUCCUUUCGCUAGGGACAAAGCGUUUUAGUGACGGUACCUGGAGAAGAAGCACCGGCUAACUACGUG